CACGAAAAAGAAUAUGAGGACAUAUCAUUUUGGGGACGAAGGAUCUCCCUGAUCUUCAUGACUUUGUGCCCUUCGCGCCUCCCGCCAUCACCUCAAGCGCCACCCCCUAUCACCACAAGCGCCAACCCCUUUCCGUGCCCUCUUGGCACCCUCGCUCCCUCUUCAAGCUCUUGGCGCCGCCCUCGAUCCUCCCUACAAGACCCGCAACCCUAUCAGCGCCGUCCCCCAUCGCCGCCCCAUACCUUCCCCUUUCAGUCCCCUCUUCGAGCUCUUGGUACCCCCACUCCCUCUUCAAGCUCUCGGCGCCGCCCUGCAACCCUCCCUGCAAGCCCCGCAACCCUAUCAACGCCCCCCUCCGCCACGCCAUGCCUUCCCCUUUCCGUCCCCACUUCUAGCUCUCGGCGCCACCCCCCGAGACAUGCCCAAAAUUUCCUCGGCGCAUCCCUUCGCCUCCUUCGUCAAACAGUAAAUCGAUUCUGGAUGUGAGGCGAUUGACUCUGACAAAUCGAUCUUCUCUUCGUAUCUUCACCUCGGCCCCCGACGCUGAGGUGACCCUUCGCCCUGCCCUAAUAUCUUCUUCGCACUGCCCUAAUCUUAUUCACACGAACUGCCCUACCAUGCCAAUCCGGCUCUUUUAGGAAUGUUGGUGGUGGCGUCGAGGUGAAGCUUCGGUUGAGGCGGCCUUGCAAGGAAUGGGAUUUCUUCCCAUUCGAGUAGGUUCUUGAUAAAAUUUUCCAUGAGCUCACAUCGUGCAUGGGCCACAAAAUGCCUCGUUCUAUAAGCUCUAGGAUGAGUUACGCAAGAAACUCAUAUAUUGCAUAGCUUGUCAACAUUAUUAUCUCUAGAAGGGUUCUUGGAGAUAGUUUCUAAAAACAAGAUUCAUCUGGCUGUCAAAAUGCAAAUUAUGACAAAGUUCGUGGAGAUGAACCCUGAAGAUUACAUCAAUUUUCUUUCAAUUCUAGGACCUCAGGCUCCUCCUUGGCUUAUACUAAUCAAAGGUAAGAUAUUGUUGGGCAAGCUUUUGGAAGUGGAGUGAGGAUGCCUCCAUUAAGACCUUCUGAUUCUUCAAAGGAUAUUCUUAAUUAUAUUGUACUGUCUUUUAUUAUAUUUCUUUGAUUGUUAGUUAUUCAAAGUUUUUUGUAAAACAUUUGGAGUUGAUUUAUAAAGAUUUGUGAGCUUUGUAAAAUGAUUAUUAGAUGAAUAAGUGUUGUAUGAAUUGUGAUUA
This is a long non-coding RNA of Zingiber officinale, 1225 nucleotides long. RefSeq lists it as uncharacterized. The transcript is spliced from 3 exons. NCBI's taxonomy places the organism in Eukaryota, Viridiplantae, Streptophyta, Magnoliopsida, Zingiberales, Zingiberaceae. The record is from RefSeq and is a predicted model, not a curated record.